AAGCAAGACGUAAAGGCACUGCAUGCCUCUUUUCUGGAAGUUUCCGGGAAUUUCUGGGACCACCUGCAGACAGGCCUUUCUGAAGUGGCCGAGGGGGUCCAGAGGGCACAGCUCCAACGCCAGGCUCUGCUGUCUUGGCGGUCCAAGGCGGGACAUCUGGAGCGAUGCCUGCAGGAGGCGGACUCGAGGUACCAGCUAGAGAAGCAGAGGAGGAAGGCGCUUCACAACGUUUGGUGGAGCUGAAAGGGAAUAUCAGGGUUCACUGCCGGAUCCGCCCUUUGUUGCCUUUUGAUGAGGAAUCCGAGGAUCCAGCUUCACAGAACAGCUCUGUGCCUGCGGAAGUGGUCCACGCCGUCGAUGAUGUGAGUCACAUCUCCAGCACGCCGCACUUGGAGGAGCUCUCUGUGUGGUGGUUCCCGUGGGCCCCAGAAACGUCCACCCCUGGGCGUAAACCAGAGACGGGUGAACAUAGGAGAGUUUCCCCCUUUAUUCCGUGCCUCCUCAGAUAGCAAAGACGGGUUCUGUGUCCGGAUUUCCGCUGGAGCGAGAAAUUAACGCAGGCUGCGUGCGCGUCCCUUGUGCGAAGCCGCGGGCCUCCUCACUGUAGGUGUGUGUGUGUCAGGAAAGCCGCUCUGCUCUCGUUAGUUUUCCAGCCCCCAAGUCAGCCAGCGCACGAAAGGACGGAACCUGUGGUCUGAGCAUAAGGCAAGAAACGCAAGCGUGGAACCGAUGUGGCUCCUCAUGAACUGUGUCGUUUUAAAAUUAUGAAACGGACGUGUCUGCUACCAGCCCACAAUUUUGUUUUCUCUUCAGAACCUGCGUGUUUCUUAGCUUUAUCGACCCAAAAGGCCUGGAAGCAACAGUGGGAAGCCCAGCACCCAGACCGUGGUUUCCACCUGCUGGGAGUACAGGACGCGCCCGGGACACAGGCUGUGCCGGGCAGUAAAGCGAGUAGGGAAGACGGUGGGGUUGCGUCCACAAAUGCAGAAGGGAUGCCCACUGCCGUAGGGUGAAAUAAUGGAGCUCGAGACGUGACUGGAGCCAGGUUGAAAAAGUACAGAAUUCUACGCAAACCUUCAGUUCGCAAGUACUUCCGUCUUUAAAUCUCAUUGAUGGCCUUUGGAGAGGGCUAGAGCAUCGGUCUAUCACUCUAAAAAAUUACAAAGAAGUAAACAUUUAUGAUGCCUUUCCUGUACGAAAUGCGUUUCAAGGUAAAUAAAUAGUUGGCGAGAGAAAGUUUUUCUUUUCAGAAGAUUCUAGAUUAUCAAUUCAGAGUAAGUGAUAAGAAUAGAAGUCACCACUCGAAAGCCCUAAUAGGUCUGGGUGACAGUCUUCAGUGGGUGCUAGACGGUUAGGGGACAGCAGGAUCUUUACCACAGAAGGUUCCAGAACCCAGAGCACUCGAAGUUUCACAGACGGAGAGAUGCUCAGAUGUGACGAGGUGGCCACAGGCCAUGAGGUGCUACAGUCCCACCAGUGAAGAGACUGGGCUGCAAAGUUGAGCCCACAUCUAAUGGAGUCUGGGGGUCUGCCAUUUUGAACAAGAGGAAAGAAAUCAGCCAAGUCAGAACGUGAGACACUUCACAGGACAAGUGACCCGAUUCCUCUGAGAAAUCAGUAACGCCAAGAAGGGCAGAGGAGGCAGAAUGGGAGACGCCCCAGGCUCGUAAUCACAGUCUCUGAACAAGUCAACUGUAAACCACAUUUUGGGGACAACCAGAGAAACUAGACUACGUGUGGGUUUGUAUUAACUGCCUGAAGUGAGAUGGUAAUGGCAUGGGGGCUGUGCUGAAAAACUGAGUCCUCAUAAGUGAAAUCAAAUGCUGUGUUGUCUGGUAUUUAAAUUAAAAUAUGCCAGGGGAAUGGGAGGUGGGUUGAGCAUCUGUAUAAAACAAGGUGGACCAAAUGUCAAGAGUGCUGGGUGAGGGCUCUCAUUAUCCUGUUUCCUCCAGUUUUGUGCAUGGUUGAGCAUCUCCGUAAAUAAACGUGAAGAUACGUUGGGCUUACACUUCACUGCCGCUUGUUACGACCAUUGCUGCACGAGUCUAGAAAGCGUGUGGAAGGUGACCUCUCAGCUGUAUUGAUGCCCAGACCCUGGUCCUCUAUGCCGCGGUGCCGGGUGGAAGCCGCGAGGGGCUGCUCCCCCCCGCCCCCUGACAAGGUCUGUCGUUGGAGUCCGUCUUAUGGUGGUCACAUGUCAUAAUCUGCGGUGACUCUUCCUAAAGCCACUUCGGUUCACGGAUCGACGGCUUUCUUUUUACACAGCAGCCCAGGAAACCAUUAGCGCGAUAUUGAAAACUCUUUCAACAGUCUCUG
Molecule: long non-coding RNA, 2316 nt
Organism: Lynx canadensis (Canada lynx)
Lineage: Eukaryota; Metazoa; Chordata; Mammalia; Carnivora; Felidae
Exons: 4
Source: RefSeq, a predicted model, not a curated record